AGCGAACGCUGGCGGCAGGCCUAACACAUGCAAGUCGAACGAACCUCUCGGGGUUAGUGGCGGACGGGUGAGUAACACGUGGGAACGUGCCUUUAGGUUCGGAAUAACUCAGGGAAACUUGUGCUAAUACCGAAUGUGCCCUUCGGGGGAAAGAUUUAUCGCCUUUAGAGCGGCCCGCGUCUGAUUAGCUAGUUGGUUGAGGUAAUGGCUCACCAAGGCGACGAUCAGUAGCUGGUCUGAGAGGAAGAUCAGCCACAUUGGGACUGAGACACGGCCCAAACUCCUACGGGAGGCAGCAGUGGGGAAUCUUGCGCAAUGGGCGAAAGCCUGACGCAGCCAUGCCGCGUGAAUGAUGAAGGUCUUAGGAUUGUAAAAUUCUUUCACCGGGGACGAUAAUGACGGUACCCGGAGAAGAAGCCCCGGCUAACUUCGUG
Molecule: ribosomal RNA, 434 nt
Filed under: uncultured bacterium
Lineage: Bacteria
Description: partial 16S ribosomal RNA
Rfam family: Bacterial small subunit ribosomal RNA
Source: RNAcentral